This 253-nucleotide ribosomal RNA is filed under the name uncultured bacterium. RNAcentral describes it as "partial 16S ribosomal RNA". It matches the Rfam family "Bacterial small subunit ribosomal RNA", at positions 524 to 776 of the family's 1533-position model. The record is from RNAcentral.
UACAGAGGUGGCAAGCGUUGUUCGGAAUUACUGGGCGUAAAGGGCGCGUAGGCGGCCGCCUAAGUCAGACGUGAAAUCCCCAAGCUUAACUUGGGAACUGCGUCUGAUACUGGGUGGCUUGAGUUCGGGAGAGGAAUGUGGAAUUCCAGGUGUAGCGGUGAAAUGCGUAGAUAUCUGGAGGAACACCGGUGGCGAAGGCGGCAUUCUGGACCGAAACUGACGCUGAUGCGCGAAAGCCAGGGGAGCAAACAGG